Molecule: ribosomal RNA, 277 nt
Filed under: uncultured bacterium
Lineage: Bacteria
Description: partial 16S ribosomal RNA
Rfam family: Bacterial small subunit ribosomal RNA
Source: RNAcentral
GACGAACGCUGGCGGCGUGCCUAACACAUGCAAGUCGAGCGGGGUUCCCAUCGGUGGCAACACCGUUGGGCGCCUAGCGGCGAACGGGUGAGUAACACGUGAGGAACCUGCCCCGGACUUCGGGAUAACUCGGGGAAACUCGAGCUAAUACCGAAUACCUUCUUCAGAUCGCAUGGCCUGAUGAAGAAAGAUUUAUCGGUCCGGGAGGGCCUCGCGGCCUAUCAGCUUGUUGGUGGGGUAACGGCCCACCAAGGCUACGACGGGUAGCUGGUCUGAG